RNAcentral lists this ribosomal RNA (1325 nucleotides) under metagenome. RNAcentral describes it as "bacterial LSU rRNA". It matches the Rfam family "Bacterial large subunit ribosomal RNA", at positions 1561 to 2925 of the family's 2925-position model. The record is from RNAcentral.
AGUGGAUGGGGAGCAACCUAGUUGUGCGUGUGUAAAGGUAGUGCCAAGAAAAGCGAUGAUCAUGUUGGAAAUCAAUUCCCGGUACCCGAAACCGACACAGGUGGGCAAGUAGAGAAUACUAAGGGGCGCGAGGUAACUCUCUCCAAGGAACUCGGCAAAAUGACCCCGUAACUUAGGGAGAAGGGGUGCCACCGAGAGGUGGUCGCAGUGAAGAGGCCCAGGCGACUGUUUAGCAAAAACAUAGGUCUCUGCAAACUCGAAAGAGGAGGUAUAGGGGCUGACGCCUGCCCAGUGCCGGAAGGUUAAAGAAGUUGGUCAGUUUUAGGAUGAAGCUAGCGACUGAAGCCCCGGUGAACGGCGGCCGUAACUAUAACGGUCCUAAGGUAGCGAAAUUCCUUGUCGGGUAAGUUCCGACCCGCACGAAAGGCGUAACGAUCUGGGCGCUGUCUCGGAGAGAGGCUCGGCGAAAUAGGAUUGUCUGUGAAGAUACGGACUACCUGCAUUUGGACAGAAAGACCCUAUGAAGCAUUACUAUAGCUUGGAAUUGUGUUCGGGCUUCCUGUGCGCAGGAUAGGUGGGAGGCGUAGAAGGUAUUCUUGUGGGGAUACUGGAGCCAACGGUGAGAUACCACUCUCAGGAGGCUAGAAUUCUAACUUAAUUAAGGACAGUUUCAGGUGGGUAGUUUGACUGGGGCGGUCGCCUCCAAAAAGGUAACGGAGGCGUACAAAGGUUCCCUCAGACUGGUUGGAAAUCAGUCGAAGAGUGCAAAGGCAGAAGGGAGCUUGACUGCGAGAAGUACAGUUCGAGCAGGGUGGAAACACGGUCUUAGUGAUCCGACGGUGCUGUGUGGAAGGGCCGUCGCUCAACGGAUAAAAGUUACUCUAGGAUAACAGGCUGAUCUCCCCCAAGAGUUCACAUCGACGGGGAGGUUUGGCACCUCGAUGUCGGCUCAUCGCAACCUGGGGCGGAAGUACGUCCCAAGGGUUGGGCUGUUCGCCCAUUAAAGCGGUACGUGAGCUGGGUUCAGAACGUCGUGAGACAGUUCGGUCCAUAUCCGAUGUAGGCGUGAGAAUAUUGAGAGGAGCCUUCCUUAGUACGAGAGGACCGGGAAGGACGCACCGCUGGUGUACCUGUUAUGAUGCCAAUUGUAAACGCAGGGUAGCCAAGUGCGGAGAGGAUAACCGCUGAAAGCAUCUAAGUGGGAAGCCCACCUCAAGAUGAGUAUUCUGGUGUAAGGUCACGGGAAGACGACCCGUAAAUAGGCACGAGGUGGAAGUGCAGAGGUGUAUGAAGCCGAAGUGUACUAAUAGACCGUCGGCUUGAUC